UAGGUAGACUUUGUUGUCUUCGAUGUACCAAGAUCAGGAAGCACGUCUUGUUAGGCUGAACUGUCUCAUCGAAGUGAGUUUUCCGGUGUUACGCAUUGUCACGUAAAUGUUUCUCCGUGAUUGGAGCACCUCGAUAUUGAACUUUACCACAAAUACAUUUAUGUAUACAACUUUAGUCAUGAUGCAUAUAAAGCAAAGUGUAAAAAAUUACCGCCA
This 216-nucleotide long non-coding RNA is filed under the name Mytilus galloprovincialis (Mediterranean mussel). Lineage: Eukaryota; Metazoa; Mollusca; Bivalvia; Mytilida; Mytilidae. The record is from RNAcentral.